GCUCCUGGUGCUCAUUUUUUCUUUCUUUCUUUUUUUCCCCCUUAUUUUAUCCAAUAAGACAGAGAGAAAUUGAGAGCAGAGAGGAGAGACAGAGACACCUGUAGACCUGCUACACUGCUUGUGAAGCUUCCCCCAUGCAGAUGGGGAGUUGGGGGAGCUUCAAAGUUGGGCCUUUUUGCAGCCUUUGCACACAGUACUAUGUGUAUUUAAUCUAUUGUGCUACCUCCCAGCCCCUGAAAUUCUAAUUCUUUAGGUCUGAGAAGGAGCUCCAAGCAAAAGUGGUGCAGAGGGUAUUGCUUGUUAGACACUCAGUUGAGGACCCCUGGGAAAUCUAUACUGCCCCUUUUAACGUUUUUUUCUCUAGAUAGAGGAUGAAAGAAAGAGAAAGGAAAAGAGACACCACACCAGUGCUUCAUCAUUGUGAAGCUUCCCCUUUUGUGUGUUGCACCCUUGUUGUAGCUAGGGGUUCGAACCUGGUUUUAGUUCAUGGUAUCAUGUACACUUCACUGAGUGAGCCAUCUCCUAGCCCCCUGCUCUAGAUCAGUUUAUGGUUGUUUUUUUAUUUUUUUUUUUUAAUUAUCUUAGCCCCCUGCUCUAGAUCAGUUUAUGGUUUUUUUUUAUUCUUUUUUUUAAAAAUUAUCUUUAUUUACUUACUGGAUAGAGACAGCCAGAAAUCAAGAGGAGGUGAUAGAGAGGAAGUGAGACAGAGAAACACCUGCAGCCCUGCUUUACCACUCAAAGCUAUCCCUGUGCAGGUGGGGACUGGGGCUUGCACCCAGCUCCUUGUGCACUGUGAUGUGUGUGCUCAACCCGGUGGGCCACCACAUGGUCCAGUGGCUGAUUUUUUUACCCCUGCUCUGGUAUGUUCCUGCUAUGUGGAACAUGGUUUUUGAUUUGAAGAUAAGUUCUUUGAAAUGUGAUUGAACCAUACCCAUAGAAAAUUGUUAUAUGGGAGUCGGGCAGUAGCUCAGUGGAUUAAGCAUACGUGGCACAAAAAAGAAAAGAAAAGGACUGGCAUGGGGAUCCCGGUUCGAGCCCCUGGCUCCCCACCUUCAGGGGAGUCACUUUACAGGCGGUAAAGCAGGUCUGCAGGUGUCCGUCUUUCCCCUUCACUGUCUUCCCCUCCUCUCUCAAUUUUUCUCUGUCCUAUCCAACAACAGCAACAACAACAACAGUAAUAACAGAACAAUGACAAAACAACAAGGGCAACAAAAGGGAAAAAAAUGGCUUCCAAGAGCAGUGGGUUUGUGGUGCAGGCACCGAACCCUGGCAGUAACCUUAGAGGCAAAAAAAAGAAAAGAAAAAAUUGUCAACAAGGGCAACAAAAGAGAAUAAAGAGAUAAAUAUUUUUUUAAAAAGAAAAGAAAAUUGUUAUAUUAUGUACCAACAACUUAUCGAUCCAUACU
Erinaceus europaeus (western European hedgehog) is the source of this 1406-nucleotide long non-coding RNA. RefSeq lists it as uncharacterized. The record is from RefSeq and is a predicted model, not a curated record. Lineage: Eukaryota; Metazoa; Chordata; Mammalia; Eulipotyphla; Erinaceidae. The transcript is spliced from 3 exons.